GGGGGGGGGUGGGGGGGGGGGGGGGGGGGGCGGGGGGGGCGGGGGCGGGGCGGGUGGGGCUUCGUUGGUGGCGGGUGGCGGCCCGUUUAGUACUGUAUGGGGACCGGCCUGCUGGCGUGUGGUAACGACUGUUAACGCUAGCUCAGAGCGCAUUCCGUAGCGCGAACCGAAAGUGGGCCCAUCGAGCCUCCUGCCAUCGGACGUGCCCACAUGGGAUGAGAUCGGCGGCGGGGUAACGCAUCACCAAGGGGAUGAACCCUCGCUGGUCUGUGACGAUGGCCAGCCACACUGGAACUGAGACACGGUACAGACUCCUACGGGAGGCAGCAGUGGGGAAUAUUGCACAAUGGGCGCAAGCCUGAUGCAGCCAUGCCGCGUGUAUGAAGAAGGCCUUCGGGUUGUAAAGUACUUUCAGCGGGGAGGAAGGGAGUAAAGUGAAUACCUUUGCUCAUUGACGUUACCCGCAGAAGAAGCACCGGCUAACUCCGUG
Molecule: ribosomal RNA, 490 nt
Filed under: uncultured bacterium
Lineage: Bacteria
Description: partial 16S ribosomal RNA
Rfam family: Bacterial small subunit ribosomal RNA
Source: RNAcentral